GGAGAGAUGGGUGAGUGGCUGAAACCAACAGUUUGCUAAACUGUCGUACUGGUUACAUCCGGUACCGGGGGUUCGAAUCCCCCUCUCUCCG
This 91-nucleotide transfer RNA is filed under the name Bacteroidales bacterium. RNAcentral describes it as "tRNA-Ser". It matches the Rfam family "tRNA". From Rfam's summary of the family: Transfer RNA (tRNA) molecules are approximately 80 nucleotides in length. Lineage: Bacteria; Pseudomonadati; Bacteroidota; Bacteroidia; Bacteroidales. The record is from RNAcentral.